AUGAACGCUGGCGGCGUGCCUAAUACAUGCAAGUCGAGCGAACAGACGAGGAGCUUGCUCCUCUGACGUUAGCGGCGGACGGGUGAGUAGCACGUGGAUAACCUACCUAUAAGACUGGGAUAACUUCGGGAAACCGGAGCUAAUACCGGAUAAUAUAUUGAACCGCAUGGUUCAAUAGUGAAAGACGGUUUUGCUGUCACUUAUAGAUGGAUCCGCGCCGCAUUAGCUAGUUGGUAAGGUAACGGCUUACCAAGGCAACGAUGCGUAGCCGACCUGAGAGGGUGAUCGGCCACACUGGAACUGAGACACGGUCCAGACUCCUACGGGAGGCAGCAGUAGGGAAUCUUCCGCAAUGGGCGAAAGCCUGACGGAGCAACGCCGCGUGAGUGAUGAAGGUCUUCGGAUCGUAAAACUCUGUUAUUAGGGAAGAACAAAUGUGUAAGUAACUAUGCACGUCUUGACGGUACCUAAUCAGAAAGCCACGGCUAACUACGUGCCAGCAGCCGCGGUAAUA
Molecule: ribosomal RNA, 514 nt
Filed under: uncultured Staphylococcus sp.
Lineage: Bacteria; Bacillati; Bacillota; Bacilli; Caryophanales; Staphylococcaceae
Description: bacterial SSU rRNA
Rfam family: Bacterial small subunit ribosomal RNA
Source: RNAcentral